Molecule: ribosomal RNA, 254 nt
Filed under: uncultured bacterium
Lineage: Bacteria
Description: partial 16S ribosomal RNA
Rfam family: Bacterial small subunit ribosomal RNA
Source: RNAcentral
UACGUAGGGUGCGAGCGUUGUCCGGAAUUAUUGGGCGUAAAGAGCUCGUAGGCGGUGUGUCGCGUCGGCCGUGAAAACCUGCAGCUUAACUGUGGGCUUGCGGUCGAUACGGGCAUCACUGGAGUUCGGCAGGGGAGACUGGAAUUCCUGGUGUAGCGGUGAAAUGCGCAGAUAUCAGGAGGAACACCGGUGGCGAAGGCGGGUCUCUGGGCCGAUACUGACGCUGAGGUGCGAAAGCGUGGGGAGCAAACAGG